Molecule: non-coding RNA, 70 nt
Organism: Triticum aestivum (bread wheat)
Lineage: Eukaryota; Viridiplantae; Streptophyta; Magnoliopsida; Poales; Poaceae
Source: Rfam
GUGAGCCGCAUGCGGGGAGACCCGCACGUACGGUUUUCAGGGGGAUCCGGCCGGCCGGCGCCCACCCGAC